UCAGCUACGAAUAUGUCACCCAAUACCGCUGAAGCUCUUAUAUGCAUGCAAGCAUGGAGUCCUGCUGAUUUGCUUGGUAAUAAUCCAUUUAUUUCAGUCAUGAAUUAUGAAUUACAUCUCAUUUACUUUGAUUUUCUUCUUACUAAAUGUAGAAUAACUUUGCUUUAGAUAAUGUCACUUCCGAUCAAUUUGCGAUUCAGUUUGUUCUUGAAGAUGAAGGAGAAGUUAUGGUAACAUUACAGUGCUGCCAUUUACAACUUAUCAUAUACAGAUGAUGUUAUUGAGUACAUUCUUAAACUUUUUAUUUCUUUUGUAGGAGGAAUGUGAAUGUGAAGUCACCAUUGGUGACUAAAAUGAGCAAGUGCCUCUACUUGGUUGUUAACAUUGAGGCAUGGGCGUGCAUUAGGGAUCAUGCAAUGUUGUUUGGUCGAUUAGUCUUAGCAUUGCAAGUUUGAAAACUUUAAUUUGUUUUCAAUGUUAGUUUGUAAUGGAGAUUAAGACCUUUAAUUAUCUGCCAAUCGUCAUUGUAAACUUUUGUUGCAGCUGCAAACCAGAUUGUGAUGGCCGAGUACCUAA
Molecule: long non-coding RNA, 576 nt
Filed under: Triticum aestivum (bread wheat)
Lineage: Eukaryota; Viridiplantae; Streptophyta; Magnoliopsida; Poales; Poaceae
Description: long non-coding RNA (TAES_LNC013934)
Source: RNAcentral